GCCACCUCUCCUUCCUCUGCCCCAAGAUGACCGGGUGUGUAUUUUAGUUUUAUAGAAUCAGGCUAGUUCAUUUGGUCCAUUUUUAAUGGCUUUUCCCGCUGUACCUCCUUUCACUGUUGUCUUAGAUCGCUUCCUCUGCCUGAUUAUCUUGACCUCUGAUCAGGGGUCUUAACACCACAGGUGAUGGACAAUGGAAGGCCCGUUUCACUGACUGGGGCCUGACACUUUUGGCCCACCUUCCUCCCUUCUCUCUAGGUCCUUGCUCCCAUGCCAGAGUCUGUGUUUUUACCUUCCACCUCUUUCUCACCCUCCCUGGCACCCUGCCUCCCCUUUCACAGGUCUCAAAGACCAUGCAGAGCUGACUCUUGUUCUAUGACAGGUAUGGUUGCAAACUGGGGGUGCAGGGUCUCCCCUCAGCUCUAUGUGUGGGGCAAAGCCACGGGGCUAGAAUGGAAGGCCACAACUCCCCAGGAAUACCAGAGGCCGAAAAUAAUCCUAGGACACGCCUACCCCUAACUCUUCUCUCCUUCUCCAGGCUGCUUGGCUUCUCCAGGCUGCAGAAUCCUGGGAACUCCAUGGGAAAUCUGGCCUCCCAGGAGUUCUGCAUCUGGCCAGGGGGGCGGUCAGCCGUUUCUGAUAGGGCCUCUCCUCGGAAGAGCCCCUGCAGCAGUCAGAACACCUGGCUCCAACUGCAUCUCUACUGCUGCCCUGGCUGCCUCCAUGAACCUGGGCAGGUCACCGGCCCUCUUGGAGUCUCUAUCCUUAUGGUCCUUCCAGGACUGACAGUCUGUGGAUUAAAUGUGACCACAGCCUGCACUAUUUUAGAUUUCAGGGUUUUAUAGAGUUUUCUUCAAUCGGGUUGGCACCAAGCCACGUCCUAUGGAGGCCACUGGAGUGGUGUGCAGUAAAUGCAUCGGGCAGCAGGAGGAAUUGGUUCUACUGUCACAGAAACACUUCUAGGCCAGAGAAAUCAACCAAGGUACUUGGUUUGUACAUGGGUGCAUCUUCCUCCCCGAGGCCCCAGACUGGCACUGGAGCAGGCUGUUUCCUGUCCCCUCAUCAUCGCUGACACAUACGUGAGUGGUUUCCUUGGGGAGCCAGUCACCUGACCCGGGUUCCACCCUUGCCUCCCCUCUUGGCUCCUCCUGCCCCCUCAGCUACACCCCAGGCUGUGCCACUCACCUCCAGGCUUUGCUCACUCCCUUCUCUGUGCCUGGAACACCCUCCCCCAACUCUCCAUGGAAAUAUUCAAGGUUCUCUCAAGUCCCAUCUCUUCCAGGAAGCCUUCCAAGAUCUGCCAGCCCUCUCCUGAGCUCGGGCAGCCUCUCUCUGCCUACACUGGAGCCCACUGUUCUCCAUCAGGUCUGAUGUCCCCUCUCUUCCUGAUCCAGGCUGGGUGCACGGUGGCACCUCUGCAGGGCCGGCCUGGAUCACUGGUCUGCAGGCCCUCUCCUCAGAGGAAGAACGAGGUUCUCUGUCCCGCCCCCCACCCCCAGCUCCCUGUGAGGACAGGAUUUGGUUGUGCUCCUUCAAGAGAAGGUGUGACCACAUACCCCAGCCCUGGAAGUGGCCCUGCUUCGGGCCAGUCAGCAAGUUCUUUGUAAUGGAAAGGGCAGGUCGGGUUGAAAUGAGCCUGGACUUGCGCAUCAGCGGACUGGGUUCUAGUCCCAGCUCUGCCUCGGUGGCACCUAUGACCUAAGGCUGUGAAGUCACAUAAUCUCCCUGAGCCUCCAGGCUCUAUAAUCUCCAAAAUAUCGCCCCACAGGCACUGGUGACCGCUGACAGCACUGCACACUCAGCCUUGCAUACUGCCUGCACACAGUAACUGCUCAGGAAAGGCAUGUGGGGUGGAUGGAGGAGGGUCAGGAGUCCCCGCUUUCCCAGCGCCCUGAGCCUCCCUCCCUGCCCGCUCUGACUCCGGAACCAGCUGCGCUCACCCGCCUGUCCUGUCGGCACUGGCCAGCUCUCUGCACUCUCUUGAUUCUUGCAGAAACUUUCUCUUGUCGGACAGAACACACGCUUCCCAUCAGCUUUUAUUUCUGUGAGGGCUUGCUUACGAGCAGGGCAUUCUGUUCUUGGAAUUUCUUGUUAAAAUAUUUCAUUUAAUUAAGUUUUUACAACCAGCUCUGCUUUGUGUCUGUCAGAAGGUAGGGGCCGGGCAGCCCUCUCCUCAGCUCUCUGGGAGGCCAGGU
This 2192-nucleotide long non-coding RNA is filed under the name Equus caballus (horse). Its description in RNAcentral is "lncRNA (ENSECAG00000046516.1)". The record is from RNAcentral. Lineage: Eukaryota; Metazoa; Chordata; Mammalia; Perissodactyla; Equidae.